Molecule: ribosomal RNA, 497 nt
Filed under: Phratora vitellinae
Lineage: Eukaryota; Metazoa; Arthropoda; Insecta; Coleoptera; Chrysomelidae
Description: partial 16S ribosomal RNA
Rfam family: Bacterial large subunit ribosomal RNA
Source: RNAcentral
UAAUUUAAAGUCUAGCCUGCCCAAUGAUUAAUUUAAUGGCCGCGGUAUCUUGACCGUGCUAAGGUAGCAUAAUCAAUAGUUUUUUAAUUGAAAGCUGGAAUGAAGGGUUGGAUAAAAAAGUAGCUGUCUUUAUUUAAUUUAAUUAGAAUUUUAUUUUUAAGUUAAAAAGCUUAAAUUUUAUUAAAAGACGAGAAGACCCUAUAGAGUUUUAUAAUUAUUUUUAUUAAUAUUUUAAGAAUUUAUUUUAUUAAUAAAAAUAAUUAUUAAAUUGGGGUGAUUGAAAAAUUUAAUUAACUUUUUUUACAUAUUUACAUUUAUAAGUGAUUAAUUGAUCCAUAUUUAAUGAUUAUAAGAUUAAAUUACCUUAGGGAUAACAGCGUUAUUUUUUUUAAGAGUUCAAAUCGAAAAAAAAGAUUGCGACCUCGAUGUUGGAUUAAAAUUAAUUUUUGGUGUAGGUGCUAAAAAAUUAGGUCUGUUCGACCUUUAAAAUUUUACAU